This 502-nucleotide ribosomal RNA is filed under the name uncultured bacterium. RNAcentral describes it as "partial 16S ribosomal RNA". It matches the Rfam family "Bacterial small subunit ribosomal RNA", at positions 28 to 523 of the family's 1533-position model. The record is from RNAcentral.
GGUGAACGCUGGCGAUGUGCCUAAGACAUGCAAGUCGAGGGGCAGCACGGGGUAGCAAUACUCUGGUGGCGACCGGCGCACGGGUGAGUAACGCGUAUGCAACCUGCCUUGUACUGGGGGAUAGCCCGGAGAAACUCGGAUUAAUACCCCAUAACGAUAUAGUAUGGCAUCAUUUUAUAUUUAAAGAUUCAUCGGUACAGGAUGGGAAUGCGUAACAUUAGCUAGUUGGUAGGGUAACGGCCGACCAAGGCAACGAUGUUUAGGGGUCCUGAGAGGGUGAUCCCCCACACUGGUACUGAGACACGGACCAGACUCCUACGGGAGGCAGCAGUGAGGAAUAUUGGUCAAUGGGCGCAAGCCUGAACCAGCCAUCCCGCGUGCAGGAAGACGGCGCUAUGCGUUGUAAACUGCUUUUCCAGGGGAAGAAAACUUCCGUCGUGACGGGACUUGCCGGUACCCUGGGAAUAAGCAUCGGCUAACUCCGUGCCAGCAGCCGCAGUAA